GGAGCGAUGGCCGAGUCCGGUUGAUGGCGGCGGUCUUGAAAACCGCUAGGGUGCAAGCCCUCGGGGGUUCGAAUCCCUCUCGCUCCGCCA
Molecule: transfer RNA, 90 nt
Filed under: Chloroflexota bacterium
Lineage: Bacteria; Bacillati; Chloroflexota
Also listed under: 1 other name
Description: Chloroflexi bacterium tRNA-Ser
Rfam family: tRNA
About the family: Transfer RNA (tRNA) molecules are approximately 80 nucleotides in length. Their secondary structure includes four short double-helical elements and three loops (D, anti-codon, and T loops).
Source: RNAcentral